This 1010-nucleotide long non-coding RNA is filed under the name Rattus norvegicus (Norway rat). RNAcentral's name for it is "long non-coding RNA NONRATT023768". The record is from RNAcentral. Lineage: Eukaryota; Metazoa; Chordata; Mammalia; Rodentia; Muridae.
GUGUGAAUUAGAGCUGGCUUCAUUGUUUGGAAAGAUGUCAUGGUACCUGUCCAGUAUUAACGUUUGAAUGAGGUGUGAGAAUAUAAGUAUCUCUUGCACACUCCUGUGCGUGCACAAGCCAGAGUAUGCAAAGGCUGACUGGGUAGGAGGGGCUGUUAGUGAACGGCUGAAGAAAGACAUCACUUGCCGGACAGCCAGAGGGAUACAUCUACAUGGGGAUAAUACUUAACCCAGAGAGCAUUUGUCCAGCCCAUUUUCCAAAUUGGAAAGUUUCACAAAAGAGGCAGAGAUAAGGACAGGAGAGUGUAUCUACCCAGAGACAUUCUAAAUGACACAAAGUAACAAGUAGGACUUUGGGUGCAGCUCAGGGUAGAACUUGCCUAGUAUGCAUGAGGUCUUAGCUUCAAUCUCCAGGACGGCAAAAAAUGGUGUGGUGGUGCAUCCCAGCACUCAGGAGGUAGAGGCAAGAAGAUGAGCUCAAAGCUAUCCUGAGCUAUAUUGUGAGGGUAGCCUAGGCUACAUGAGUUUCUGUCUUAAAAACAACAAAAUCCUAGAAAAUAGUAAGUUGAAAUAAGACUGAAAAACAUCAAUGUAGAUAGAUUCCAGAGUUCUGUGGGUUUAUAUGAGAUGUUUAUAUUCUACGUUUUAUGGUUUAUAAAAAUAAUUAUUGAAAACCAAGUUUGGUCAGGGCUGGGGAUGUCUUGUUGGUUAAGAACAUCUCGUUCUUGGAUCUCGUUCCCAGCACACACAUCAGGCAGCUCACACAGCUGCUGGCAACUCCAGCUCUAGGUGAUCUGAGAACUGUCCUCCCCAAUAAGAAAGAAAUAAAAAAGAAAAGAAAACCAAGCUUGGUGGCAUUGGUGGCACAGGCCUCUGAUUUCAGCAUUGGGAAGGCAGAGGCAGGAAGAACACACUGAAGGAUAGCCUGGGCUACGAAGCAAGUAAAAGGCCAGCCUGGGAAACUUAGCAGACCCUUUCUCAAAGUUUACUGAGUACAGUAAGGAGACACA